Molecule: ribosomal RNA, 612 nt
Filed under: uncultured bacterium
Lineage: Bacteria
Description: bacterial SSU rRNA
Rfam family: Bacterial small subunit ribosomal RNA
Source: RNAcentral
CCUACGGGAGGCAGCAGUAAGGAAUAUUGGUCAAUGGACGAAAGUCUGAACCAGCCAUGCCGCGUGAAGGAUUAAGGCCCUCUGGGUUGUAAACUUCUUUUAUCUGGGACGAAAAAAGGGUAUUCUUACUCACUUGACGGUACCAGAGGAAUAAGCACCGGCUAACUCCGUGCCAGCAGCCGCGGUAAUACGGAGGGUGCAAGCGUUAUCCGGAUUUACUGGGUUUAAAGGGUGCGUAGGUGGGCUUGUAAGUCAGUGGUGAAAUCUCCGGGCUUAACCCGGAAACUGCCAUUGAUACUAUAGGUCUUGAAUUAUCUGGAGGUAAGCGGAAUAUGUCAUGUAGCGGUGAAAUGCUUAGAUAUGACAUAGAACACCAAUUGCGAAGGCAGCUUACUACGGAUACAUUGACACUGAGGCACGAAAGCGUGGGGAUCAAACAGGAUUAGAUACCCUGGUAGUCCACGCCCUAAACGAUGGAUACUCGACACCAGCGAUACACUGUUGGUGUCUGAGCGAAAGCAUUAAGUAUCCCACCUGGGAAGUACGAUCGCAAGAUUGAAACUCAAAGGAAUUGACGGCUGAGACGNGCGACGACGACGACGAGGGAGGAGG